UAAUACGUAGGGUGCAAGCGUUAAUCGGAAUUACUGGGCGUAAAGCGUACGCAGGCGGCUAUGUAAGACAGGUGUGAAAUCCCCGGGCCUAACCUGGGAACUGCAUUUGUGACUGCAUAGCUAGAGUCCGUCAGAGGGGGGUGGAAUUCCACGUGUAGCAGUGAAAUGCGUAGAGAUGUGGAGGAACACCGAUGGCGAAGGCAGCCCCCUGGGAUGAGACUGACGCUCAUGUACGAAAGCGUGGGGAGCAAACAGGAUUAGAUACCCUGGUAGUCCACGCCCUAAACGAUGUCGACUAGUUGUCGGGGAUUUACAUCCUCGGUAACGCAGCUAACGCGUGAAGUCGACCGCCUGGGGAGUACGGUCGCAAGAUUA
Molecule: ribosomal RNA, 375 nt
Filed under: uncultured bacterium
Lineage: Bacteria
Description: bacterial SSU rRNA
Rfam family: Bacterial small subunit ribosomal RNA
Source: RNAcentral